Molecule: ribosomal RNA, 495 nt
Filed under: uncultured bacterium
Lineage: Bacteria
Description: partial 16S ribosomal RNA
Rfam family: Bacterial small subunit ribosomal RNA
Source: RNAcentral
GACGAACGCUGGCGGCGUGCCUAAUACAUGCAAGUAGAACGCUGAAGGAGGAGCUUGCUUCUCUGGAUGAGUUGCGAACGGGUGAGUAACGCGUAGGUAACCUGCCUGGUAGCGGGGGAUAACUAUUGGAAACGAUAGCUAAUACCGCAUAACAGUAGAUAUCGCAUGAUAUCUACUUGAAAGGUGCAAUUGCAUCACUACCAGAUGGACCUGCGUUGUAUUAGCUAGUUGGUGAGGUAACGGCUCACCAAGGCGACGAUACAUAGCCGACCUGAGAGGGGGGUCGGCCACACUGGGACUGAGACACGGCCCAGACUCCUACGGGAGGCAGCAGUAGGGAAUCUUCGGCAAUGGACGGAAGUCUGACCGAGCAACGCCGCGUGAGUGAAGAAGGUUUUCGGAUCGUAAAGCUCUGUUGUAAGAGAAGAACGAGUGUGAGAGUGGAAAGUUCGCACUGUGACGGUAUCUGACCAGAAAGGGACGGCUAACUACGUG